RNAcentral lists this ribosomal RNA (440 nucleotides) under uncultured bacterium. RNAcentral describes it as "partial 16S ribosomal RNA". It matches the Rfam family "Bacterial small subunit ribosomal RNA", at positions 338 to 795 of the family's 1533-position model. The record is from RNAcentral.
CCUACGGGUGGCAGCAGUGGGGGAUAUUGCACAAUGGGGGGAACCCUGAUGCAGCGACGCCGCGUGGGUGAAGAAGCGCCUCGGCGCGUAAAGCCCUGUCAGCAGGGAAGAAAAUGACGGUACCUGAAGAAGAAGACCCGGCUAACGACGUGCCAGCAGCCGCGGGAAUACGUAGGGGGCAAGCGUGAUCCGGAUUUACUGGGUGGCAUGGGGGCGCAGACGGCGUUGCAAGCCAGGAGGGAAAGCCCGGGGCCCCACCCCGGGACUGCUCUUGGAACUGCGUGGCUGGAGUGCAGGAGGGGCAGGUGGAAUUCCUGGUGUAGCGGUGCAAUGCGUAGCUAUCAGGAGGAUCCCCGGUGGCGAAGGCGGCCUGCUGGACUGCAACUGACGUUGCGGCCCGAAAGCGUGGGGAGCAAACAGGAUUAGAUACCCCUGUAGUC